Molecule: non-coding RNA, 77 nt
Organism: Xylaria digitata
Lineage: Eukaryota; Fungi; Ascomycota; Sordariomycetes; Xylariales; Xylariaceae
Source: the annotation of a GenBank genome assembly
GGGCUCCUAGCUCAGUGGUUUAGAGCGUCAGCCUUAACACAGGCAGAAGGUCCUAGGUUCGAAUCCUAGGGAGUCCA